CCUACGGGAGGCAGCAGUGGGGAAUCUUGCGCAAUGGGGGAAACCCUGACGCAGCAACGCCGCGUGGGUGAUGAAGGCCUUCGGGUCGUAAAGCCCUGUCAGGUGGGAAGAAACUUGUGGAUGUUAAUACCGUCCACACUUGACGGUACCAUCGGAGGAAGCACCGGCUAACUCCGUGCCAGCAGCCGCGGUAAUACGGAGGGUGCAAGCGUUGUUCGGAAUUAUUGGGCGUAAAGCGCGUGUAGGUGGUCAGGUAAGUCAGAUGUGAAAGCCUUCUGCUUAACAGAAGAAGUGCAUUUGAAACUGCUUGGCUAGAGUACGGGAGAGGAGAGUGGAAUUCCCGGUGUAGAGGUGAAAUUCGUAGAUAUCGGGAGGAACACCAGUGGCGAAGGCGGCUCUCUGGUCCGAUACUGACGCUGAGACGCGAAAGCGUGGGGAGCAAACAGGAUUAGAUACCCUGGUAGUCCACGCCGUAAACGAUGGGCACUAGGUGUAGGAGGUAUUGACCCCUUCUGUGCCGAAGCUAACGCAUUAAGUGCCCCGCCUGGGGAGUACGGCCGCAAGGCUAAAACUCAAAGGAAUUGACGG
Molecule: ribosomal RNA, 588 nt
Filed under: uncultured bacterium
Lineage: Bacteria
Description: bacterial SSU rRNA
Rfam family: Bacterial small subunit ribosomal RNA
Source: RNAcentral